RNAcentral lists this ribosomal RNA (399 nucleotides) under uncultured bacterium. RNAcentral describes it as "bacterial SSU rRNA". It matches the Rfam family "Bacterial small subunit ribosomal RNA", at positions 362 to 776 of the family's 1533-position model. The record is from RNAcentral.
UAUUGGACAAUGGGGGGAACCCUGAACCAGCGACGCCGCGUGAGUGAAGAAGUAUCUCGGUAUGUAAAGCUAUAUCAGCAGGGAAGAAGAAAUGACGGUACAUGAGUAAGAAGCUACGGCUAACUACGUGCCAGCAGCCGCGGUAAUACGUAGGGGGUAAGCGUUAUUCGUAAUUACUGGGUGUAAAGGGAGCGUAGACGGUGAUGUAAGUCUGGAGUGAAAGGCGGGGGCCCAACCCCCGGACUGCUCUGGAAACUAUGUGACUGGAGUGCAGGAGAGGUGAGCGGAAUUCCUAGUGUAGCGGUGAAAUGCGUAGAUAUUAGGAGGAACACCAGUGGCGAAGGCGGCUCACUGGACUGUAACUGACGUUGAGGCUCGAAAGCGUGGGGAGCAAACAGG